CUCCGAAAGGGUAUCGGAGGCGCCCAAAGGUUCCCUCAGAAUGGACGGAAACCAUUCGAAGAGUGCAAAGGCAGAAGGGAGCUUGACUGCGACACCGACGGGUGGAGCAGGUACGAAAGUAGGGCUUAGUGAUCCGGUGGUAUUAAGUGGGAAUGCCAUCGCUCAACGGAUAAAAGCUACCCUGGGGAUAACAGGCUUAUCACUCCCAAGAGUUCACAUCGACGGAGUGGUUUGGCACCUCGAUGUCGGCUCAUCGCAUCCUGGGGCUGUAGUAGGUCCCAAGGGUUGGGCUGUUCGCCCAUUAAAGCGGUACGCGAGCUGGGUUCAGAACGUCGUGAGACAGUUCGGUCCCUAUCCGGCGUGGGCGUAGGAUAUCUGAGAGGAGCUGUCCUUAGUACGAGAGGACCGGGAUGGACGGGCCGCUGGUGCAUCGGUUAGACUGCCAAGUCUACGGCCGAGUAGCCAAGCCCGGAAGGGAUAAACGCUGAAGGCAUCUAAGCGUGAAGCCCCCCUUAAGAUGAGAUAUCCCAUUCG
RNAcentral lists this ribosomal RNA (534 nucleotides) under Ruminococcus sp. AM50-15BH. Its description in RNAcentral is "partial 23S ribosomal RNA". It matches the Rfam family "Bacterial large subunit ribosomal RNA", at positions 2287 to 2820 of the family's 2925-position model. Lineage: Bacteria; Bacillati; Bacillota; Clostridia; Eubacteriales; Oscillospiraceae. The record is from RNAcentral.